GAGUUUGAUCGUGGCUCAGAUUGAACGCUGGCGGCAUGCCUUACACAUGCAAGUCGAACGGCAGCAUGAUCUAGCUUGCUAGAUUGAUGGCGAGUGGCGAACGGGUGAGUAAUACAUCGGAACGUGCCCUGUAGUGGGGGAUAACUAGUCGAAAGAUUAGCUAAUACCGCAUACGACCUGAGGGUGAAAGUGGGGGACCGCAAGGCCUCAUGCUAUAGGAGCGGCCGAUGUCUGAUUAGCUAGUUGGUGGGGUAAAGGCCCACCGAGGCGACGAUCAGUAGCUGGUCUGAGAGGACGAUCAGCCACACUGGGACUGAGACACGGCCCAGACUCCUACGGGAGGCAGCAGUGGGGAAUUUUGGACAAUGGGGGCAACCCUGAUCCAGCAAUGCCGCGUGUGUGAAGAAGGCCUCGGUUGUAAG
Molecule: ribosomal RNA, 422 nt
Filed under: uncultured microorganism
Description: bacterial SSU rRNA
Rfam family: Bacterial small subunit ribosomal RNA
Source: RNAcentral